CUGCUAUGGGAUCUUCACGAAGGAUGGGUGCCUGCCCUGUGUUUGGCUCUCGGUAGGGCACCCAAAGCAACAGCUGAACAGUGGAGCAUCUGGAACAAGAAGCCAAACAUCAGGAAUUCAUCAUCUGGAAGAUACCAGCAGGGCAGACCUGGAGCACCUUAUUCUUGGCUCAACUGAUGGCAUCCUCUAUUGCCCAUGCCACAGUUCCCCCAUGUAUCCAACUACACAGCUCAAUCCUGACCAGAACCCUGCAUUAAUUCAGUCAUAUCUGACACAACGUUACUCGAUGGCCCCCGCUCAUUUCUCACUGACGUGGUCUGACUUGGCCAUAUGUGACCCUCGGAGGGCGAUUGCCCUCAUUGCACAUUGGCUUUGGCUGUGG
Gallus gallus (chicken) is the source of this 382-nucleotide long non-coding RNA. Lineage: Eukaryota; Metazoa; Chordata; Aves; Galliformes; Phasianidae. The record is from Ensembl.